UACAGAGGGGGCAAGCGUUGUUCGGAAUUACUGGGCGUAAAGGGCGCGUAGGCGGCCUGUUAAGUCGAACGUGAAAUCCCCGGGCUCAACCCGGGAACUGCGUCCGAUACUGGCAGGCUUGAAUCCGGGAGAGGGAUGCGGAAUUCCAGGUGUAGCGGUGAAAUGCGUAGAUAUCUGGAGGAACACCGGUGGCGAAGGCGGCAUCCUGGACCGGCAUUGACGCUGAGGCGCGAAAGCCAGGGGGAGCAAACGGGG
RNAcentral lists this ribosomal RNA (255 nucleotides) under uncultured bacterium. Its description in RNAcentral is "partial 16S ribosomal RNA". It matches the Rfam family "Bacterial small subunit ribosomal RNA", at positions 524 to 777 of the family's 1533-position model. The record is from RNAcentral.